UUUUCAAAAGAAUAUAUUUUUUGUAAAGUAGACAAAUUUUCAUAUAAAUUUUAAUCUUUUAAAAAUUUUAAGCUUUUUAGAACACUCGAUUAAUUUCGAUUAAAUUAUUAUACAUUUUUACAGUUUCCUGUAUUCUUUAAAUCAGUUCUACAGAAAUGUGAUUUAACUUUAUCUCCUCAACCUGUGUUAAAUUUUUUUUCUUAAAUAUUUUAUUUUAUGUAUAUAGUAUUUUAUUUCUACAAAUAAUUCUUGCUUCCAUCGAUCGAUCCUCGCGGCGUUUCUAAGUAACUGAUUGUCGUUUACCUUGGAUACGUGAGUACUAGUAAGGAUUAAUAAACCAGGCAAGCUCUUGCAUUAGAGCGAAAAAUAAUUGUUGAAUUACUGAAGGCUUCUAUACUGAUCGAUUUAUCGUUGUCGAACGAAAAUCAACAUUAUGCCGCUUCAAUUUGAAGCAAGUGAAAAAAAUCCCGACGACAAUGAGGUACCGAAGUAUCAAAACACUUAUCGCAUGGAACCACAGAAUUCGUUCAAGAUCGAUCUGGUGGACAAGAUCGUGAGAUCGGUGAUGAACAAUCGUCUGGACGAGAUCAUGUACGACGAUGCGGAGGCCGUGAAAUUGUGCGGCGACAUCGCGGCGGAGAUACGACGGCGCGUGAAGAAAUUAAACUUCGAUAGGCACAAGAUUAUCGUCACGGUCAUGAUAAUCGAGAAAGCCAGCCAAUCGGUAGAAACAACCCUUAGCUUUCUAUGGGACAGCGAAAGAGAUAAAUAUUCUGCCUUUUCUUACGAGGGUCGCACUUUUCACGCUCAGUGCAGCGUAUUUGGUAUCUAUUACGAGUAACACUUGCUGCAAGCCUGUGUUUCCUGCGUUUUUCAAUAAAAUCUCGGUUACGAAAAAAAGUUUAUCACACAAAUAGUUUAGAUUAUUGGCCACGCAACCCACCUUUGCCAGCAUGUUGUCCUUUAUAAAAGAUGCCUUUUAACAUUAGCUCCGAAACAACGUUACUAAGUUUGUUAAAAACAUGCCAUCCGUUUGCGAGGCCAGAAAUGCGAUGAUAUCUGAACGAGAAUCCUUUAACUUUGCAAGGCUGUGAAAACGAAGUUUGUGAUUGGGCGCAGUGGAAGAAGAAGCUGAGUGAAAUUGCGUAUAAUUGUAGAGCGGAAAAAAUUUGUCUAGAUGAUGGCCUACAAUUUCAUUUUUUUAACAGGAUACGCUAUCAUUCCAUUACUAUUUUUCAUCUCCUACCGCUACAAGAUUGAAUACGUAGAAUGCCACUAGAAUCGAAAAAGGUGCUUUCGUAAUUUUCGUUUCUCAUUUUUGAUUAAUAAAAAAAAAAAGAAAUAUUUUGAUAUUAUUUUUAUCAUUGUAAUUAAUUUUGUCACAUAUUUAUACGUUUUUAAUAUUCGAUACUGUACAGUAUGUAAAAGUACUGAAAAAAGCUAGUGUUAAAUCGAAUUAAAUAAAAAGAAAUCUAAUAUUAAAUGUAAGCAAGAAAUGAAUUAUUUAUUACAUUGUUUUAAUCUCCUUUAACCUAAGGUUUAUCUUUGCGAGAAACAAUAGUCGGCGUUGUUUAAAAAUUAUUAAUUCAACAACUGCACAAAAUCCUAUCGGACUGAUCUUGCUGUGCUUAUGUUAGACAGAAUGACAUAAUUUUAAAUUGUUAGAGUUUUUUAUUUAAAUUCUAUAAAAAUAAUGCAUUCUCACUUCACAAAACUAUAGAGAACAAAUCAUGUCUCACUAAAGAUCAACCAAAUGACUCUAAUAAAUAAAAUAAAAAUUUACACUCAAAAGUCUUCUCAUUUUGCGCAUAUUAUAUUCACGAAAG
Molecule: unclassified non-coding RNA, 1826 nt
Filed under: Monomorium pharaonis (pharaoh ant)
Lineage: Eukaryota; Metazoa; Arthropoda; Insecta; Hymenoptera; Formicidae
Description: tctex1 domain-containing protein 3, transcript variant X1
Source: RNAcentral